GCGCUCUAUGAAAUAUUUCGGGCGUCGGAUGCCUC
RNAcentral lists this small RNA (35 nucleotides) under Bombyx mori (domestic silkworm). Its description in RNAcentral is "ovarian small RNA-5365". Lineage: Eukaryota; Metazoa; Arthropoda; Insecta; Lepidoptera; Bombycidae. The record is from RNAcentral.